AAUCAACGCUGGCGGCGUGCCUCAGACAUGCAAGUCGAACGCGAAAUUUCCCUUCGGGGAGAAAGUAGAGUGGCGCACGGGUGAGUAACACGUAGGUAAUUUGCCUUUGGGUGGGGAAUAACUCAGGGAAACUUGAGCUAAUACCGCAUAAUGCAGCGGCUCGACAUCGAGACAGUUGUUAAAGCGGGGGAUUGGAGCAAUCCGACCUCGCGCCUAAAGAGAAGCCUGCGGCAGAUUAGCUAGUUGGUAAGGUAAUGGCUUACCAAGGCGACGAUCUGUAACCGGCCUGAGAGGGCGGUCGGUCACACUGACACUGACAUACGGGUCAGACUCCUACGGGAGGCAGCAGUCGGGAAUUUUGGGCAAUGGGCGCAAGCCUGACCCAGCAACGCCGCGUGAAGGAUGAAAUUUUCGAAUGUAAACUUCGCAAGAACAGGAAGAAUAAGUGUGGGACAA
This 456-nucleotide ribosomal RNA is filed under the name uncultured bacterium. RNAcentral describes it as "bacterial SSU rRNA". It matches the Rfam family "Bacterial small subunit ribosomal RNA", at positions 32 to 463 of the family's 1533-position model. The record is from RNAcentral.